ACCAUGCAGUCGAGCGGCAGCGGGAAAGUAGCUUGCUACUUUUGCCGGCGAGCGGCGGACGGGUGAGUAAUGCCUGGGGAUCUGCCCAGUCGAGGGGGAUAACUACUGGAAACGGUAGCUAAUACCGCAUACGCCCUACGGGGGAAAGCAGGGGACCUUCGGGCCUUGCGCGAUUGGAUGAACCCAGGUGGGAUUAGCUAGUUGGUGAGGUAAUGGCUCACCAAGGCGACGAUCCCUAGCUGGUCUGAGAGGAUGAUCAGCCACACUGGAACUGAGACACGGUCCAGACUCCUACGGGAGGCAGCAGUGGGGAAUAUUGCACAAUGGGGGAAACCCUGAUGCAGCCAUGCCGCGUGUGUGAAGAAGGCCUUCGGGUUGUAAAGCACUUUCAGCGAGGAGGAAAGGUUGGUAGCUAAUAACUGCCAGCUGUGACGUUACUCGCAGAAGAAGCACCGGCUAACUCCGUGCCAG
Molecule: ribosomal RNA, 471 nt
Filed under: uncultured bacterium
Lineage: Bacteria
Description: bacterial SSU rRNA
Rfam family: Bacterial small subunit ribosomal RNA
Source: RNAcentral